CCUACGGGGGGCUGCAGUGAGGAAUAUUGGUCAAUGGGCGUAAGCCUGAACCAGCCAUCCCGCGUGCAGGAAGAAGGCGCUAUGCGUCGUAAACUGCUUUUCCAGAGGAAGAAAACCCCCGACGUGUCGGGGCUUGCCGGUACUCUGGGAAUAAGCAUCGGCUAACUCCGUGCCAGCAGCCGCGGUAAUACGGAGGAUGCGGGAGUUAUCCGGAUUUAUUGGGUUGAAGGGGUGCUAAGAAGUCUGAAUAGAAAACCUUCAGCUUAACUGGAGACUUGCCAUUGAUACUGUUAGUCUUGAGUACGGUCAAGGUAGGCGGAAUGUGUAAUGUAGCGGUGAAAUGCUUAGAUAUUACACAGAACACCGAUUGCGAAGGCAGCUUACUGGGCCAUUACUGACGCUGAUGCACGAAAGCGUGGGGAGCGAACAGGAUUAGAUACCCCUGUAGUC
Molecule: ribosomal RNA, 450 nt
Filed under: uncultured bacterium
Lineage: Bacteria
Description: partial 16S ribosomal RNA
Rfam family: Bacterial small subunit ribosomal RNA
Source: RNAcentral